This is a long non-coding RNA of Diorhabda carinulata, 1591 nucleotides long. RefSeq lists it as uncharacterized. NCBI's taxonomy places the organism in Eukaryota, Metazoa, Arthropoda, Insecta, Coleoptera, Chrysomelidae. The record is from RefSeq and is a predicted model, not a curated record. The transcript is spliced from 2 exons.
UUUUAUAGCCUCGUUUAUAACAAUUUUCAACCACCACAAUUAUUUUUGUUUAUUUAUUUGAUUCGAAGUCGUUCAUAUUGAUUUAAAUUAGAUCUUAUAACAAUCAAAUGAUAAUAAUAAUUAGUGUUUUCGUGGUUUAUGUGAUAAAAAGACUUUUUAGACUUUCAGUUUUCGAGUAUAAAUAAAUUAAUUUUUAGGUUUGUAAGAUCUAGGACUGCUUCAGAAUGGGUAUGUGCUUUGUUCCAGACUGUAAACAUUACAGUUCAAAGCAUCCAUGUAAGUUUUUUCGGUUCCCAAAAAACAAGACCGAGAGGAAUAGAUGGAUUUCUCUCAUAAGGUAAAAGAAUGAUAACAUUAACUUUUCAAAGAUUUAUGUUUUAAAUUUAUUUAUUUGAUUUCAAUAUUCAGAAGAAGUUUAAUAUAAAAUCACCAGAAAAAAGUGAACUGCAAAAAACUUUGUGACCGAGCUACUACCAGGACCUUCAACUGAACCACUACCAGGGCCUUCAACCAAACUACUGCCAGGGUCUUCAAAACAAGAUCAUGAAGUGACUCAAAUUUAACUUGAUGCUUCACUACUGAGUCCAUCAUCUGCAUUUCAAGAUGCUAAGAAUUACUUUUUGCGACAGCAGGUGGUUGAAUUAACUGAGAAGCUGGAAAAGUUAUCAACAAGGUUCAGCUAUGAAAUCGUGAAGAACAAAGGUGCUCAUGUACUAAUGUAUACUGUUAUUCCAACCAAUGAGCUGUUCAUGGUUCUUUUUGAUCAACUGUUUAUGACCUUAAUGAAGCUAAGACUUCUUUCACUUUCCCUACUGCUUUUAUGAAUUUUAAAAAUUGUAGGAUAAUUUUGGAUUGCACCAAAAUUUAUUCAGCAAUUCCAGCAAGCAUAGAAAUCCAGAGAUUGACCUACAGUUCAUACAAACACUGAAACACACGAAAAAUGUUUGUAGGUGUUGCACCAAACGGUGUAAUCACCUUUGUUGUGGCUGGAGAUUUGAUAUUAGCAGAUAAAGGUUUCUUGAUUAAGGAACUUCUCCCUGCAGAAGUAUCAUUAUAUAUACCUCCAUUUUUAAUUAACAACACCACAUUUUACAGAAUCCCAAGUAUAUGAAACUCAGGAAAUUGCAAAGGCUAGAAUUCAUGUAGAAUGGGCCAUCAGGAGAAUAAAGUGUAUUUUGUUCCAUCAUAUUAUAUAUCACAAAUUUCAAUUAUCUUUCAACUGUGUGCAGCCCUCACAAACUUGCAAUAUCCUCCAAUUAAAGAAGUUGAGGAGUAUUAUUAGUAGGAUCUAUACUGUAGGUUAUGCCGUUUAAUAUGAACUGAAUUGAUUAACCGUACGGAAUUGAGCCAAAAUACAUAGACAUAUUAUAAUUUUGAGUUUUAAAUAUUUUUUAUUGUAGCAAUAUAUUUCCUUAUUCGACUUUUUUUGUAAAAAGUUUGGAAAUUUUUAUUUAAAAAAUGUAUAUUUAAAUUUUACUUAAUUUAUAAAUGACUUGAUCUGAUACAAUCCACAAUUUUCAUAAAGUAAACAAAUACAAUUUGAUUUCUUGUCAGUCUUUAUACAGUCUUCAAAUAAAUUAUUAAGCCACAA